AUAUUUUCUUGGAAAACAUUUUCUUCAAUUUUUUUUUUCCAUUUGGAACUCUUAGGAUAAUUGGUCAAUGUUUUUCAAGGAAAAUGAAAUAUUUUUUAAAAAGAAAAACAUAUUUACAAAAUUUGAUAAACUCAUUAAAAAGGAAGCCAUGGGCACACCAUGUGAACACAUACCUGUUAGUUUAUUGAGUAUUAGCAGCUGACACUUCUUCCUGGCAAGAAUGGCAUUUUUUUUAAUUCUCUCAUAGUCAACAAUAAAUAGAAGAAUAUGAAAUUCUUAUAGGUCUAAACUUUUAAAUAGUCCUAUAUCUUGAAAACAAAAAAUAUUUUCUGUGUAUUCCAAAUGCUAGAGAAUAAUUUCCAAUUAAUUGUGAGAAUUAUUACUAAACAAUGAAAAAUAAGUUAUUUUUUUAGAUUAUGUUUUCCUCUGAAAAUAUUUUCUGCAGACAGAGGUGUAAAGGCACUUUAUUGCAAAUUUUCUGUUUAGACACACUAUUGGACAAAAAGAAAAAAGGUCUCCAAACAUGCAAAUGUAUAUUGAGUUCUAUGAUGCAA
This 554-nucleotide unclassified non-coding RNA is filed under the name Hevea brasiliensis (rubber tree). The record is from RNAcentral. Lineage: Eukaryota; Viridiplantae; Streptophyta; Magnoliopsida; Malpighiales; Euphorbiaceae.